CACCCACCAACAAGAGAGAAUUGCUUAAAAAGAUUUUGAUGAAAAAUGUGGUACUAAAAGCCAAAAGUCCAGCUUAUAUUGAACCUCUUGAGACAAAACAUGGGCCCUCCAAAUUUGGCUAAUUAAAUUCUCAAUUGGGAACCACCCCAAAAAUUGCUUCAAGAGAAACAAAAGAAUGCCCCAUCUCUCUGUCCAAUUGCUUGCUUGCUUGCAUUGAAACAGAAGAAAGGCCCCUCUCUCUGUCCAAUUGCUUGCAGUGAAACAAAAGAAAGGCACCUCUCUCUUUCCAAUUCCUUGCAGUGAAACAAAA
Molecule: long non-coding RNA, 310 nt
Filed under: Amborella trichopoda
Lineage: Eukaryota; Viridiplantae; Streptophyta; Magnoliopsida; Amborellales; Amborellaceae
Description: long non-coding RNA (ATRI_LNC001345)
Source: RNAcentral